Molecule: non-coding RNA, 129 nt
Organism: Caenorhabditis elegans
Lineage: Eukaryota; Metazoa; Nematoda; Chromadorea; Rhabditida; Rhabditidae
Source: Ensembl
AGCAGGCGAACGCGACGAGUGGACAACUGAAUUGAUUAUGACACUAUACGAAGUUUGAACCGAACAACGACAGACCACAAAAACAUUUUCUUCCAGCUUUUUAUUGAUGAAAAUAAAAUAAAAUCUAAU